CAGGGAAUAUUGCGCAAUGGGCGAAAGCCUGACGCAGCGACGCCGCGUGAGGGAUGAAGGCCUUCGGGUUGUAAACCUCUUUCAGUGGAGAAGAAGCGAAAGUGACGGUAUCCACAGAAGAAGCCCCGGCCAACUACGUGCCAGCAGCCGCGGUAAUACGGAAGGUGCAAGCGUUAGUCGGAGUUAUUGGGCGUAAAGGGUGCGUAGGCGGCAUACAAAGUUGGAUAUGAAAUUCCGUGGGCUCAACCCCGGGGCUAUAUCCAAAACUCGUAUGCUCGAGGAAUGGCGGAGAAAAUGGAAUUCCAUGUGUAGCGGUGAAAUGCGUAGAUAUAUGGAAGAACACCUGUGGCGAAAGCGGUUUUCUAGCCUCCUCCUGACGCUAAGGCACGAAAGCAAGGGGAGCAAACAGGAUUAGAUACCCUGGUAGUCCACGCCGUAAACGAUGGGCACUAGGCGUCGGGGGGAGCGAACCUCCCGGUGCCGUCGCUAACGCAGUAAGUGCCCCGCCUGGGGAGUACGGCCGCAAGGCUG
Molecule: ribosomal RNA, 531 nt
Filed under: uncultured bacterium
Lineage: Bacteria
Description: bacterial SSU rRNA
Rfam family: Bacterial small subunit ribosomal RNA
Source: RNAcentral